AUGAGUUGCAAAACUCCAACCAUCGCGAAUGUAACCUAUUGCAGUUUCUUCGGCGGGUGGCCCUGAGAUGGGCUGCGCACCCCGUGGGUCACGGGGGGUAUACCCGCCGGAGUCGUACAAACUCUUUUUGAGUUUGACUUUUAGUACUCAGAUGACAUUAGUUUGCCCGUACUGCAGUACCCCAACUUCUAUGUCUCUUUACUUAAUAAGUCA
Molecule: unclassified non-coding RNA, 213 nt
Filed under: soil metagenome
Description: partial internal transcribed spacer 1
Source: RNAcentral